Molecule: ribosomal RNA, 253 nt
Filed under: uncultured bacterium
Lineage: Bacteria
Description: partial 16S ribosomal RNA
Rfam family: Bacterial small subunit ribosomal RNA
Source: RNAcentral
UACGAAGGGGGCUAGCGUUGCUCGGAAUCACUGGGCGUAAAGGGCGCGUAGGCGGCCUGUUAAGUCGAACGUGAAAUCCCCGGGCUCAACCCGGGAACUGCGUCCGAUACUGGCAGGCUUGAAUCCGGGAGAGGGAUGCGGAAUUCCAGGUGUAGCGGUGAAAUGCGUAGAUAUCUGGAGGAACACCGGUGGCGAAGGCGGCAUCCUGGACCGGUAUUGACGCUGAGGCGCGAAAGCCAGGGGAGCAAACGGG